Molecule: long non-coding RNA, 240 nt
Organism: Catharus ustulatus (Swainson's thrush)
Lineage: Eukaryota; Metazoa; Chordata; Aves; Passeriformes; Turdidae
Exons: 3
Source: RefSeq, a predicted model, not a curated record
AAAGUGGUUUGUUUUGUGAAUGAAAGCUGGAUGCCUUUAGCAGGAUGGCAUUAACACUGACCUCUGCUCAUGCAUUGAAUUCCUGCCCAGUGGGAGAGCUGGAGAAGAUGCAGAGGGCAAGUCAAAACCCAGAAGGUUCACAAAGCACAACUAGUCUACAAGGACUAGUUUGAGCUACUCUCACCAGCUAAGACAACACUUCUCUAUAAGGUGAGCACGUUGAAUAAAGCUUAUCGAUGU